GGGUGAGUAACACGUAUGGAACCUGCCCGUAGCAGGGGGAUAAGCGGAAGAAAUUCCGUCUAAUACCGCGUAAUAACUCCGAGAGGCAUCUCCUGGGGCUUAAAGGGUAACACCGGCUACGGAUGGCCAUGCGGCGCAUUAGCUAGUUGGCGGGGUAACGGCCCACCAAGGCGACGAUGCGUAGGGGUUCUGAGAGGAAGGUCCCCCACACUGGUACUGAGACACGGACCAGACUCCUACGGGAGGCAGCAGUGAGGAAUAUUGGUCAAUGGGCGCGAGCCUGAACCAGCCAAGUCGCGUGAGGGAAGACGGUCCUAUGGAUUGUAAACCUCUUUUGUCGGGGAGCAAAAGACGCCACGCGUGGCGUUCCGAGAGUACCCGAAGAAAAAGCAUCGGCUAACUCCGUGCCAGCAGCCGCGGUAAUACGGAGGAUGCGAGCGUUAUCCGGAUUUAUUGGGUUUAAAGGGUGCGCAGGCGGAAGAUCAAGUCAGCGGUAAAAUUGAGAGGCUCAACCUCUUCGAGCCGUUGAAACUGGUUUUCUUGAGUGAGCGAGAAGUAUGCGGAAUGCGUGGUGUAGCGGUGAAAUGCAUAGAUAUCACGCAGAACUCCGAUUGCGAAGGCAGCAUACCGGCGCUCAACUGACGCUCAUGCACGAAAGUGUGGGUAUCGAACAGGAUUAGAUACCCUGGUAGUCCACACAGUAA
This 704-nucleotide ribosomal RNA is filed under the name uncultured bacterium. RNAcentral's name for it is "bacterial SSU rRNA". It matches the Rfam family "Bacterial small subunit ribosomal RNA", at positions 104 to 805 of the family's 1533-position model. The record is from RNAcentral.